RNAcentral lists this non-coding RNA (57 nucleotides) under Ligilactobacillus salivarius. Its description in RNAcentral is "salivarius-1 RNA". It matches the Rfam family "salivarius-1 RNA". Rfam says of the family: Lactobacillus salivarius (Firmicutes). RNAcentral also lists the same sequence under 1 other name. Lineage: Bacteria; Bacillati; Bacillota; Bacilli; Lactobacillales; Lactobacillaceae. The record is from RNAcentral.
GCCCUAGAUCCACAUGAUUUGAGUAGGUUACUUGUUUUUGAAAGCAAGCUAGGGUAU